CCCUAUGGGGCGCACCAGUCGCGAAAACUCCGCAAUGUGGGAAACCACGACGGGGGAACUCCCAGUGCGUGCACUUUGUGUACGCUGUUCUCGUGCCUAAAAAGCACGAGAAGUAAGGGCCGGGUAAGACGGGUGCCAGCCGCCGCGGUAAUACCCGCGGCCCGAGUGGUGCUCAUUAUUAUUGAGUCUAAAACGUCCGUAGCCGGUCGGGUAGAUUCCUGGGUAAAUCGAACCGCUCAACGGUUCGAAUUCCGGGGAGACCGUCCGACUUGGGACCGGGAGAGGCGCGAGGUACUCCUGGGGUAGGGGUAAAAUCCUGUAAUCCUGGGAGGACCACCAGUGGCGAAGGCGUCGCGCUAGAACGGAUCCGACGGUCAGGGACGAAGCCCAGGGGCGCAAACGGGAUUAGAUACCCCGGUAGUCCUGGGUGUAAACGCUGCAGGCUUGGUGUCGGGGGUCCUACGGGGGCGCCCGGUGCCGGAGCGAAGGUGUUAAGCCUGCUACUUGGGGAGUACGGUCGCAAGACUGAAACUUAAAGGAAUUGGCGAGGGAGCACCGCAACGGGAGGAGCGUGCGGUUCAAUUGGAUUCAGCGCCGGAAAACUCACCGGGGGCGACCCUUACAUGAAGGCCAGGCUGAUGACCU
Molecule: ribosomal RNA, 645 nt
Filed under: uncultured archaeon
Lineage: Archaea
Description: bacterial SSU rRNA
Rfam family: Archaeal small subunit ribosomal RNA
Source: RNAcentral